This 458-nucleotide ribosomal RNA is filed under the name uncultured bacterium. RNAcentral describes it as "bacterial SSU rRNA". It matches the Rfam family "Bacterial small subunit ribosomal RNA", at positions 343 to 793 of the family's 1533-position model. The record is from RNAcentral.
CGGAGGCAGCAGUGAGGAAUAUUGGACAAUGGGCGCAAGCCUGAUCCAGCCAUGCCGCGUGUGUGAAGAAGGCCUUCGGGUUGUAAAGCACUUUUGUCCGGAAAGAAAAGCUCUGGGUUAAUACCCUGGGGUCCUGACGGUACCGGAAGAAUAAGCACCGGCUAACUUCGUGCCAGCAGCCGCGGUAAUACGAAGGGUGCAAGCGUUACUCGGAAUUACUGGGCGUAAAGCGUGCGUAGGUGGUGAGUUAAGUCUGUCAUGAAAGCCCCGGGCUCAACCUGGGAAUGGCGAUGGAUACUGGCUCGCUAGAGUGCGGUAGAGGAGAGUGGAAUUCCCGGUGUAGCAGUGAAAUGCGUAGAGAUCGGGAGGAACAUCAGUUGCGAAGGCGGCUCUCUGGACCAGCACUGACACUGAGGCACGAAAGCGUGGGGAGCAAACAGGAUUAGAUACCCUCGUAC